RNAcentral lists this ribosomal RNA (253 nucleotides) under uncultured bacterium. Its description in RNAcentral is "partial 16S ribosomal RNA". It matches the Rfam family "Bacterial small subunit ribosomal RNA", at positions 524 to 776 of the family's 1533-position model. The record is from RNAcentral.
UACGUAGGGCGCAAGCGUUGUCCGGAAUUAUUGGGCGUAAAGAGCUCGUAGGCGGCUUGUCACGUCGGGUGUGAAAGCCCGGGGCUUAACCCCGGGUCUGCAUUCGAUACGGGCUAGCUAGAGUGCGGUAGGGGAGAUCGGAAUUCCCGGUGUAGUGGUGAAAUGCGUAGAUAUCGGGAGGAACACCAGUGGCGAAGGCGACUACCUGGCCUGUUCUUGACGCUGAGGCGCGAAAGCUAGGGGAGCAAACGGG